UUAUGUGAGAAUCAUAAUGGUCGAAAAUCUAAGGUUUCUUGAGGAAGGUUCGUCCGCUCAAGGUAAGCCGGGAGCUAAGGCGAGGCCGAGAGGCGUAGUCGAUGCACAUACGGUAAAGAUUCCGUAGCCACCGAAGUCGUUAAAUACAGGGACACAGGAACAUAGCCUAACCCCACCGUUGGUUGAGUGGGGCGUAAGGGAGCGAAAAUUAGUAGCGAAGUAGGUGAUUGUACACUGGCGAGAAAAGCUGUAUGGAUUGACAAGGUGCCCGUACCGCAAACCGACACAGGUAGAUGAGGAGAGAAUCCUAAGACCAGCGGGAGAAGUGUUGUUAAGGAACUCGGCAAAAUGACCCCGUAACUUCGGGAUAAGGGGAGCCUACGCGAGUAGGCCGCAGAGAAUAGUCUCAAGCGACUGUUUAGCAAAAACACAGGUCUAUGCUAAAUCGAAAGAUGAUGUAUAUGGGCUGACGCCUGCCCGGUGCUGGAAGGUUAAGGGGAAGUGUUAGAGUAAUCGAAGCACUGAACUUAAGCCCCAGUAAACGGCGGCCGUAACUAUAACGGUCCUAAGGUAGCGAAAUUCCUUGUCAGGUAAGUUCUGACCCGCACGAAUGGCGUAACGACUUGAGAGCUGUCUCAACAACAUACCCGGCGAAAUUGAAGUACUGGUAAAGAUGCCAGUUACCCGUGAUUAGACGGAAAGACCCCAUGGAGCUUUACUGUAACUUGAUAUUGAAUUUUUGUAUUACAUGUACAGGAUAGGUGGGAGACAGAGAACUAAUGCCGCCAGGUGUUAGGGAGUCGAUGUUGGGAUACCACUCUUGUAAUAUGAAGGUUCUAACCUGCACCCGUGAAUCCGGGUGGGGGACACUGUCAGGUGGGCAGUUUGACUGGGGCGGUCGCCUCCUAAAAGGUAACGGAGGCGUUCAAAGGUUGGUUCAGCACGGACGGAAAUCGUGCAACGAGUGCAAACGCAUAAACCAGCCUAACUGCGAGACCGACAAGUCGAGCAGUAACGAAAGUUGGAGUUAGUGAUCCGGCGGUA
Molecule: ribosomal RNA, 1044 nt
Filed under: human gut metagenome
Description: bacterial LSU rRNA
Rfam family: Bacterial large subunit ribosomal RNA
Source: RNAcentral